AAGACUAUAGACCUGCGGAGUACCUGCGGAAGGAUCAUUAUAGAGUGGUAAACCUCCCGUAAAAAGGGGGGGACCUCCCGUCCUUUGCAGGCUCUUUUUUAAGGGGCUUUUUUGACUUUCUGCUUCGGUGGGGUUAUCCUACCGGAACAACUUCAAAACUCUGAAUCAAAAAAAUCGUUCUGUCCGAGGGCUUUUUUAUAAAAUAAAAAAAAACUUUUAACAACGGAUCUCUAGAUCGGA
This 240-nucleotide unclassified non-coding RNA is filed under the name soil metagenome. Its description in RNAcentral is "partial contains 5.8S ribosomal RNA, internal transcribed spacer 2, and large subunit ribosomal RNA". The record is from RNAcentral.